AAAGUCGUAACAAGGUUUCCGUAGGUGAACCUGCGGAAGGAUCAUUCACAAUAAGUGUUUAUGGCACUUUCAAAUCCAUACCCACCUUGUGUGCAUUGUAAAGGCCCUUUCAAAGACUGGGCUUCAUUUUCUCACACGUCUUCAAUUUGCAAGUCUAACCAUUCAGAGUAAUCAAAAAACUCGAAUACAACUUUCAACAACGGAUCUCUUGGUUCUG
RNAcentral lists this unclassified non-coding RNA (217 nucleotides) under Mucoromycotina sp. RNAcentral's name for it is "partial contains small subunit ribosomal RNA, internal transcribed spacer 1, and 5.8S ribosomal RNA". The stretch from base 1 to 47 matches the Rfam family "Eukaryotic small subunit ribosomal RNA", at positions 1785 to 1831 of the family's 1831-position model. The record is from RNAcentral. Lineage: Eukaryota; Fungi; Mucoromycota.